RNAcentral lists this unclassified non-coding RNA (520 nucleotides) under uncultured Glomus. Its description in RNAcentral is "SSU rRNA". It matches the Rfam family "Eukaryotic small subunit ribosomal RNA", at positions 569 to 1092 of the family's 1831-position model. Lineage: Eukaryota; Fungi; Glomeromycota; Glomeromycetes; Glomerales; Glomeraceae. The record is from RNAcentral.
AGCAGCCGCGGUAAUUCCAGCUCCAAUAGCGUAUAUUAAAGUUGUUGCAGUUAAAAGCUCGUAGUUGAAUUUCGGGGUUAGUAGGUUGGUCAUGCCUCUGGUAUGUACUGGUCUCACUGAUUCCUCCUUCCUGAUGAGCCGUAAUGCCAUUAAUUUGGUGUUGCGAGGAAUUUGGACUGUUACUUUGAAAAAUUGAGUGUUUAAAGCAAGCUAACGCUUGAAUACAUUAGCAUGGAAUAAUGAAAUAGGACGUUCGAUCCUACUUUGUUGGUUUCUAGGAUUGACGUAAUGAUUAAUAGGGAUAGUUGGGGGCAUUAGUAUUCAAUUGUCAGAGGUGAAAUUCUUGGAUUUAUUGAGGACUAACUACUGCGAAAGCAUUUGCCAAGGAUGUUUUCAUUAAUCAAGAACGAAAGUUAGGGAUCGAAGACGAUCAGAUACCGUCGUAGUCUUAACCGUAAACUAUGCCGACUAGGGAUCGGAUGGAUGUUUAAUUUUUAAUGUACUCAUUCGGCGCCUUAAA